Poecilia latipinna (sailfin molly) is the source of this 449-nucleotide long non-coding RNA. RefSeq lists it as uncharacterized. Lineage: Eukaryota; Metazoa; Chordata; Actinopteri; Cyprinodontiformes; Poeciliidae. The transcript is spliced from 2 exons. The record is from RefSeq and is a predicted model, not a curated record.
ACAAGGGCCUUAUAGAUGGGCUCCAACCAUAGUAGGGAAAUAAUUCUUUCAUUGUGGAGAGGAGGACAAGGGCCUUGUAGAUGGAUGCCAAAAAUUUGACAAAUAUUUCACUCUCUCUCUCUCGCCGUGGACUGGAGGACAAGGGCGUAGUAGAUGGAUCCCAAGUGUUAUAGACAGACAUGUCUCUCUCUCAUGGCAAACUAGAGGGAAAAGGAUGCCAAAAAUUGUAGACGCAUAAUGAAAUCUCUCUCAUGGCGGACUAGAGGAAAAUGGAUCUCAACAGUUGUUGACAAAUAAUACGAUCUCUCUCUUAUGGCGGACUGGAGGACAAGGGAAAUAGUAAAGGAUGUCUUGAGUCAUAGGCAGAUAUGUUUUCUCUUGGUGGACUGGAAGUCAAGGGGACUGAGUGGAUGAGAUGAAGUCUGCUUCUCAGAUCAUGAAAACUGAAA